GUGCCAGCAGCCGCGGUAAUACAGAGGGUGCAAGCGUUGUUCGGAAUUACUGGGCGUAAAGCGCGUGUAGGCGGCGGCGUAAGUCGGUGGUGAAAUCCCUCAGCUCAACUGAGGAAGUGCCCUCGAUACUGCGUCGCUUGAAUGUCGGAGGGGAUGGCGGAAUUCCCGGUGUAGAGGUGAAAUUCGUAGAUAUCGGGAGGAACACCUGUGGCGAAGGCGGCCAUCUGGACGACAAUUGACGCUGAGACGCGAAAGCGUGGGUAGCAAACAGGAUUAGAUACCCUGGUAGUCC
Molecule: ribosomal RNA, 292 nt
Filed under: uncultured bacterium
Lineage: Bacteria
Description: partial 16S ribosomal RNA
Rfam family: Bacterial small subunit ribosomal RNA
Source: RNAcentral